Molecule: long non-coding RNA, 1378 nt
Organism: Spinacia oleracea (spinach)
Lineage: Eukaryota; Viridiplantae; Streptophyta; Magnoliopsida; Caryophyllales; Amaranthaceae
Exons: 5
Source: RefSeq, a predicted model, not a curated record
UGGCGCUGCUGCUUGCUCUUGACGCAGUAGCUGCCAGUGGCUUUUUGCCCAAUUUUGGUUCGAGUGCACGAAAUGGGAGUUAUCACUAGAGGAAAAAUCCUCAUAGGUGGCUCAUCAAAGGUUGCCCUUAUACAACAAGAGCCACCUUUGAUGGUUAAAAAAAAUUAAAAAAAAAAUUAAAUCACUAAAAUCUUUCCCUCCCUUUUGUUAAGCGCAUCUUUAGACCUGCUUCAUUCUUCUCUCGCAGUCACUCCAUACUCACCUAUACUAGGCAAAUUUACUUCUUCCCUGUCGUGCACAGUCAGCCACUCCGGCCACCAUCACCACCGCCUACUUUUCAAGUGUCCUUUAGAAAUUACUUCCAUCUUAAAAAAAAGGAAAACAAUAAACACUUUUGAAACCAAAAAAAAUUCUCUCCUUCUCUUUCAAAGUCUCCUGCAAUUCUUCUCUGCUUAAUUCCCCGCACUCCCUCUCAAGCGCCCUUAUGUGCCGUCGUCAUCUUGAUAAAAACAUCACCGGCAUACAAGUUACCAGCGUCAACCACCACCGUCAAGUAUUAAUCGAAGUUCAUAGUUGAUUUAGGUCGGGAAUCUUCAUCCAGAUCUGCUCAUUCUGGGUUACACAAGGGCUUAUCUCCUCAAACUCAAUGAAUUUCCGCCGCGAACCUCGAAAUUCGGGAGAAAUAGCAGCAGCAUUCGUGACUCUUUUUCAACGGUGUCAGGACUAGCAACUGCAGACGUGGUAGAAAUCCCAAUACCAUAUGUUGUUGCAGAAGUUUCUAUUAAGCGUCUAGCCUCUCUAAACAAGCCUGAAAUCCCAAUACUUGUGUUGGGAUGUCGGUUUGCAAUUGCCAGUGGUGCAAUAUUUCCAGUAUUUAGUAUAAUAUUUGCUAGUGCGGAUUGAAAUGUUUUACAAGCCACCAGAUAUCUUGAGAAGGGAUUCAAAGUUCUGGUCCCUUAUGUUUGUUGUCAUUGGCUUAGCAACACUGAUAUCGUAACCAGCUAGAACCUAUUUCUUUUCUGUACCUGGGUGUAAGUUGAUAAGAAGGAUCAGAACUUUAUGUUUUGAGAGAGUACUGCACAUGGAGAUUGGCUGGUUUGGCGAGGCAGAAAAUUCAAGUGGUACAAUAGGUGCAAGGCUAUCUGCUGAUGCUGCAACUGAAUCAGUGGUUAUCUCCAAGUAAAGUUUACGCAGGGAUUUAGUGCUGAUGCAAAGAAGAAGUACGAGGAGGCUAGCCAAGUUGCCAACGAUGUAGUUGCGAGUUUCGUGUUUUCAGAGUUAUUCGAAGCGCAAUGACCACAUCUUUAUCUCAAGACAGGAGGAUCAAGAUUGCUGGUGGUGGUGAUCCUAUUUUCUCUAACAAUUUGUUUAAGGCAAG